AGUAAAGAUUAAAUGUGCUUCUCAAAGGCAGCCACUUCAUGCUGCUAUGUCGAAAGGGCCAUUAUUAUUAUUAUAUUUUAAUGGUAAAAGAGAAAAGGAGAGAGGUUGAGCGAGCGAGAGAGAAGCUAGGUGUGAUGAUGACAGACUAGCUUUUCUGAGAGGAAAAGGAAAAGGGAAGGGAGAGAAAAAGGAGAGCCUCUGAGCUCAACGGAGGAUUGUGCCUGAGAAGAACCCACAGAGAUGUGACUGGAGUGAUUUGCACCCGGAUGCCUAGACUCGCCAUCUGCUCAAAGACUGCUCAGAAAGCCCUCCCAUGCAUUCCCCUGCUGCAUACCAGCCCACUCUGCCUGCAGCUGCUGUCUGCAGGACUUCAUAUCUAUGCCACACUGUGUAAAAGCUGUGCUUCAAGAAAUCACAAAAACAUUUUCCUGCACCUACUACACAGCCUGAGUGCGGCAUAAGUUGACCUUGCUUGCUAAGAAAUGGGGCAAGAAAUGCUUUUUUGUGUGUGUCAUGUCUGUUUGUUUUUCAAUUAAGAGAGGAAAGCAUUAGGCAGAUGGAAUGUACAUGUGAGGAUGAGGAGACAGAAAACAAGUAGCCCUUUCCAUCAAGAUAGAGGGUUUUCUGGGGUUGCUGGCUAUUGAAUGUCACUCCUGAUUUCUCUUUCCAAGGCACUGUACCACCAGCCUACUGAGAUUGUGUGGGAGCUUUCAUGGGGGUUGUAUUUCACU
This 731-nucleotide long non-coding RNA is filed under the name Homo sapiens (human). Its description in RNAcentral is "non-protein coding MIR100HG:94". The record is from RNAcentral. Lineage: Eukaryota; Metazoa; Chordata; Mammalia; Primates; Hominidae.